Molecule: ribosomal RNA, 397 nt
Filed under: uncultured bacterium
Lineage: Bacteria
Description: partial 16S ribosomal RNA
Rfam family: Bacterial small subunit ribosomal RNA
Source: RNAcentral
AUACGUAGGGGGCGAGCGUUGUCCGGAAUGAUUGGGCGUAAAGGGCGCGUAGGCGGCCUGUUAAGUCUGGAGUGAAAGUCCUGUUUUCAAGAUGGGAAUUGCUUUGGAUACUGAUGGGCUUGAGUGCAGGAGAGGUUAUCGGAAUUCCCGGUGUAGCGGUGAAAUGCGUAGAGAUCGGGAGGAACACCAGUGGCGAAGGCGGGUAACUGGACUGCAACUGACGCUGAGGCGCGAAAGUGUGGGGAGCAAACAGGAUUAGAUACCCUGGUAGUCCACACUGUAAACGAUGAAUGCUAGGUGUAAGAGGUAUCGACCCCUUCUGUGCCGCAGUCAACACAAUAAGCAUUCCGCCUGGGGAGUACGGCCGCAAGGUUGAAACUCAAAUGAAUUGACGGGG